UGGGGAAUAUUGUACAAUGGACGGAAGUCUGAUGCAGCAACGCCGCGUGCGGGAUGACGGCCUUCGGGUUGUAAACCGCUUUUUCUCAUGACGAAGUUUUUUGACGGUAGUGGGGGAAGAAGCACCGGCUAACUACGUGCCAGCAGCCGCGGUGAUACGUAGGGUGCGAGCGUUGUCCGGAAUUAUUGGGCGUAAAGAGCUUGUAGGCGGUUUGUCGCGUCGAUAGUGCAAACUCAGUGCUUAACGCUGAGCCUGCUGUUGAUACGGGCAGACUAGAGGAAGGUAGGGGAGAAUGGAAUUCCCGGUGGAGCGGUGGAAUGCGCAGAUAUCGGGAGGAACACCGGUGGCGAAGGCGGUUCUCUGGGCCUUUCCUGACGCUGAGAAGCGAAAGCGUGGGGAGCGAACAGG
RNAcentral lists this ribosomal RNA (408 nucleotides) under Fusobacteriota bacterium. Its description in RNAcentral is "Fusobacteria bacterium partial 16S ribosomal RNA". It matches the Rfam family "Bacterial small subunit ribosomal RNA", at positions 355 to 776 of the family's 1533-position model. Lineage: Bacteria; Fusobacteriati; Fusobacteriota. The record is from RNAcentral.